UGAAGAGAUGGAAUGAGUUCUCAAGAAAUGGUGGUCUGACAAUGUUAUUGGCAAUGGUACUCAUCUGUUGUUGAAUAUGUGGUGUUAGAGCUCAAUUCUGAAAUAUGAGCUUCCUUGCUUGCUGCAGAUUACAAUGAUAAGAAAGCCCAAGUAGCUGAACUUCUUGGACGAGAUGACGCCAUAUUAGGAUAUCCUUUGGGUAACCUAUCUUAGACAAGAAAUGGGACCAUAUUAUUGAUGAAUAUUGCGAUGAUACUUUAAACAAGUUUUGGAAAAGAGCUUUUUGAGAGGUUAUCCGCUAAGCCACACUGUGAUUGUUCAAUUGAUAUCUGUGAUUCUAGGCCCACGUGUGCAUCCAUAAGCUGAAGCACCUAAUGUCUUCGUGAGGUAUGCAUGUCAGAGUGCUAUGCUAAUGGGACACAACUUGAGAAAGAGAAGAUUUUUUUGAGAGGUUAUCCGCUAAGCCACACUGUGAUUGUUCAAUUGAUAUCUGUGAUUCUAGGCCCACGUGUGCAUCCAUAAGCUGAAGCACCUAAUGUCUUCGUGAGGUAUGCAUGUUAGAGUGCUAUGCUAAUGGGACACAACUUGAGAAAGAGAAGACAGAUGGGUAGUCAAUCCGUGUUGUAGUAUAUGAACCACAGUUGGUGAGGAUGUGGAUCAUACACAGCUUUGCAGUUCCCCGUAUCCUUCGUGUACUCUAUGUCUGAAAUGGCAUGGGUGCUACCUAGAAAUGUUUCAGAACACUGUCCACUUGGAGUGUGAACAAGUGGACGCUAAAGAAAUGGACUUGUAUAAUAUUGCUUCUCUGUAAAGUUUUUGGAUGAUUUAGAAAGAAA
RNAcentral lists this long non-coding RNA (836 nucleotides) under Capsicum annuum. RNAcentral describes it as "long non-coding RNA (CANN_LNC021691)". Lineage: Eukaryota; Viridiplantae; Streptophyta; Magnoliopsida; Solanales; Solanaceae. The record is from RNAcentral.